CAAAACCCACGCAACACCCGACUCUGAAAUUUGGGGAAACCAAGUUAGGGCAAAAGGAGAGAAAGUCACAGAGAGUCCUUAGCUUCUUUCUCUUCUCUCUCUUUUCUCUCUGUUGUGUGAAUUUCUUAGUGAAAAAUCGAAAGCUUGUAAGCUGUAAUCGAUUCACGCGUGUCUCCAUACUACUGAUCCGCAAAUUUCUUCAGAUAAAGCCCACGCAACACUCGACUCUGAAAUUUGGGGAACCCAGGUUAGGACAAAAGGAGAGAAAGUCACAGAGAGUCCUUAGCUUCGCUCUCUUCUCUCUCUUUUCUCUCUGUUGUGUGAAUUUCUCAAUGAAAAAUCGAAAGCUUGUAAGCUGUAGUCGAUUCACGCGUGUCGCCGUACUACUGAUCCGCAAAUUUCUUCAGAUAAAGCGAUUUCAUCUCCAGGUUCUCGCCUUCAUUUAGAGAUUUCCACUCUGUUAUGAGCUCUCUUACACUAUUCAAGUUAGAUUCGCUUUCUAGUCCUUUUAGCUUCUGUUUGGUUGCUCAGAAAACUGAGGUGUGGCAAUAUGAGCUCUUGGGAAUUAGGACAUGUUUGGGAGACAAAGUUGGAGAAUUCAAGAACAGAUGCCAGAGGCAGUAUAAGCUAUUUGAACCAAAACCCACCUCUCCUGCCACCUAGAGAGCUGUUUUUUAUUUUUUAUU
Vitis riparia (riverbank grape) is the source of this 686-nucleotide long non-coding RNA. RefSeq lists it as uncharacterized. The record is from RefSeq and is a predicted model, not a curated record. The transcript has 2 exons. NCBI's taxonomy places the organism in Eukaryota, Viridiplantae, Streptophyta, Magnoliopsida, Vitales, Vitaceae.